Molecule: long non-coding RNA, 205 nt
Organism: Corticium candelabrum
Lineage: Eukaryota; Metazoa; Porifera; Homoscleromorpha; Homosclerophorida; Plakinidae
Exons: 3
Source: RefSeq, a predicted model, not a curated record
GUCGACGAGAAAACAAGAAAUUUAAUGAAAAGGUGUUGUGACCCUGUAACUGGCUUUCAGUCAAUAAUAGAAGAAAUUAUAGAAAAUAUAACUCAAAUGAAAAUUGAUCUGCUGAAUGGUUAUGACAAUCCUGCAUUUCAUGUAGGAGGAAGUGGCACUGAGGGAAUCUAUUCGUCUGGUAAUAUGUUAUAGUAAACUUAAGAUA